Molecule: ribosomal RNA, 434 nt
Filed under: uncultured bacterium
Lineage: Bacteria
Description: partial 16S ribosomal RNA
Rfam family: Bacterial small subunit ribosomal RNA
Source: RNAcentral
AGCGAACGCUGGCGGCAGGCCUAACACAUGCAAGUCGAACGAACCUUUCGGGGUUAGUGGCGGACGGGUGAGUAACACGUGGGAACGUGCCUUUAGGUUCGGAAUAACUCAGGGAAACUUGUGCUAAUACCGAAUGUGCCCUUCGGGGGAAAGAUUUAUCGCCUUUAGAGCGGCCCGCGCCUGAUUAGCUAGUUGGUUGAGGUAAUGGCUCACCAAGGCGACGAUCAGUAGCUGGUCUGAGAGGAUGAUCAGCCACAUUGGGACUGAGACACGGCCCAAACUCCUACGGGAGGCAGCAGUGGGGAAUCUUGCGCAAUGGGCGAAAGCCUGACGCAGCCAUGCCGCGUGAAUGAUGAAGGUCUUAGGAUUGUAAAAUUCUUUCACCGGGGACGAUAAUGACGGUACCCGGAGAAGAAGCCCCGGCUAACUUCGUG